Molecule: long non-coding RNA, 1645 nt
Organism: Quercus robur (English oak)
Lineage: Eukaryota; Viridiplantae; Streptophyta; Magnoliopsida; Fagales; Fagaceae
Exons: 4
Source: RefSeq, a predicted model, not a curated record
UAAAAAAGACUUUGAAAACUUCAAAAGAUCAAGUGUUGCACUCACUCUGAAAAUGAGACACUGUACUGUCCACUUAAAUUACGUUAUCAUCCACUAUUUCCAUUCAUUCAACAAAAACAGGCAAAAGAAAAGGAAACUCUUCCCCUGUCCGUUCUCUGUUCGUUUCGUUUCUACAACUCCAUACACACAAGUAGCAGGUUUAAUUAUGCACUUGAAGUGUUCAAUAAAAUGCCUAGAAGAUGCAAGAUCUAUAUAUCUGCUCUGGCUUAUAAGACAGUUGGUAGCUAUUCAAGCCUCCUAAGAUUUCCUAUCUCCUCUCACAUUGUUUUUCCAAUAGCAAUCCACUGUUAGUUUUUUUGCUCUCUCUGAUUUUAUUUAUUUUUAUUUUUUUCAGUAAAUUUGUAAUUAUUUUUGGCUAAUCCAAAGUCCGUUUGGCUGUGCAUUUGAUCUGAACUUGAUGUGGUUUUUCAUGUGAUUAAGUUUCAAUCAAAUGAGAAACCAGUUAGUAAGAUGUAAUGACAUAACUAUUUGCACAUUUAAUAAGUAGCACUGAUCAAUUUGUUUGUGGAUUAGUGAACUCAAGAAAACCAGUUAGUGAGAUGUAAUGAAUUGUCUAACCAUGCAAAGUCUCUUCUAACAACUUGGUGCAGGGUUGCAUCUAAAAGAAAAAUCGAAAAUGGUUGCUCUUGAUGUUGUUAAUAAGGAAGCUAUUAAUCUAGCAUGUUCUUUUAAAAAUUAUACUCUGUUAUCAUCUUACGACAUGCCAACUUUAUCUUAAUGAAUGUUCCAGUUAAUGAAUAUUCUUUGUGAAAAUUCAUAGCUGCAAAUAUUAGAAUAAUAAAUGUUAUUAGCUUUCAUAGUUUACUUAAAAAAAGAAAAAAAGAAAAGAAAAAAAAAAAGAAGCUUCAUAGUUAGAUGAUGGAGUUUAGUGGGCUCAAUUGAUACUUUAGUAGAAUAUAUUUUGUUCUGCCACAAACAACCAUUUUUUUUAUCCUUUAUUUUGUGUGGAAUUACAAUCAAUUGGAAGAAAUUAGAUCUUUCAUGUUUAAUUCAAGUAGGUAUGAAUACUUUGAUUUGCCUAGAAUCAAGAAGCAUGAAAUGGAUGGAAAUGCAAAGAAAUUUUCAUUACUUUAUCUUAUUUGAUUGGUGCUAAAUUAGAAUUUGCUUCAUGUUGGAAAUCUAAUCCCUAAAGAAGUUUUUGAGUAUCUUAAUUGUACAAGAAUGGAUUUGACCUUUGAUCAAUUGAUCUUAUGCAAUUCAAGAAAGAUAGGAUUUGUUUAGAUACAAACUUGAGGAGGAAAAUGUUAGUAAAGAAAUGUUUAAAUUUUAUAUUCAACCCUUCUUUUUUAUUUUGCCAUUAUUGCUUGCUCAAUCUCCCUCAUUGAUUGGUUCUUCUAUUCCUUGAAAACAACUUUUUGUUGCUCUUUGGGACCACGAUUUAACUUUUCCUGAGGUGAAAUGCAAAUUAUAUUGAAAUGAAAAUUUCCAUCCAUAAUAAGUGGAAGCAUACAAGCAUAAACAAAUUAUUUUUGUAUUUAUUUGUAUAUGAGUUUCAUUGUUAUAUUAUUACAAUUUUAACGUUGAAUUUGUUGUAUGAACCUAUGGUAUAACCUCAAGUUACUAUUAAUAUUUAGUCAUUUGUUCA